CUGCAGCCCUCUCUGCAUCACUUAUUAUGAAUAAAAUAUGAUGUGCGGUGUUAAUAAGCCAAGUAUUAGGACACUUCGUCAGUGUGCCAGUGACAGAUGAUCUGACUGCACCAGGAUGGAAACUGAUGAGCAACAUAAGAGGACAGAACUUAGAAGUAUGUUUCCCCAAAAAGCCCCCUGAAGAGAACAGACAGGCCUGCUCCACUUCUCCCCUGACUGACAGCACACUCCAGAGGAGCCACGCUGCAGGACACGC
This is a long non-coding RNA of Micropterus salmoides (largemouth bass), 256 nucleotides long. RefSeq lists it as uncharacterized. The record is from RefSeq and is a predicted model, not a curated record. The transcript is spliced from 3 exons. Lineage: Eukaryota; Metazoa; Chordata; Actinopteri; Centrarchiformes; Centrarchidae.